This 503-nucleotide ribosomal RNA is filed under the name uncultured bacterium. RNAcentral's name for it is "partial 16S ribosomal RNA". It matches the Rfam family "Bacterial small subunit ribosomal RNA", at positions 30 to 523 of the family's 1533-position model. The record is from RNAcentral.
AUUGAACGCUGGCGGCAGGCUUAACACAUGCAAGUCGGGCGGGGUGAUGGUGCUUGCACUAUCACUUAGCGGCGGACGGGUGAGUAAUGCUUAGGAAUCUGCCUAUUAGUGGGGGACAACAUCUCGAAAGGGAUGCUAAUACCGCAUACGUCCUACGGGAGAAAGCAGGGGAUCACUUGUGACCUUGCGCUAAUAGAUGAGCCUAAGUCGGAUUAGCUAGUUGGUGGGGUAAAGGCCUACCAAGGCGACGAUCUGUAGCGGGUCAGAGAGGAUGAUCCGCCACACUGGGACUGAGACACGGCCCAGACUCCUACGGGAGGCAGCAGUGGGGAAUAUUGGACAAUGGGGGGAACCCUGAUCCAGCCAUGCCGCGUGUGUGAAGAAGGCCUUAUGGUUGUAAAGCACUUUAAGCGAGGAGGAGGCUCUUUUGGUUAAUACCCAAGAUGAGUGGACGUUACUCGCAGAAUAAGCACCGGCUAACUCUGUGCCAGCAGCCGCCGUAA